UACGUAGGGGGCCAGCGUUGUCCGGACUUACUGGGCGUAAAGCGCGCGCAGGUGGACGAGUAUGUGCCGUGUGAAAGCGCCGUCCUUACGAUGGUGAGGUCAUGGUAGACGGCUUGUCUAGAGGCUCGAAGAGGUCGAUGGAAUUCCGGGUGGAGCGGUGAAAUGCGUAGAGAUCCGGAGGAACACCAGGGGCGAAAGCGGCUCACUGGACCACAACUGACGCUGAGGCGCGAAAGCUAGGGGAGCAAACAGG
This 253-nucleotide ribosomal RNA is filed under the name uncultured bacterium. Its description in RNAcentral is "partial 16S ribosomal RNA". It matches the Rfam family "Bacterial small subunit ribosomal RNA", at positions 524 to 776 of the family's 1533-position model. The record is from RNAcentral.